GGCCGUGAACCGGCGGAGACGGAGGACAGGACCGGGUCCUGCUUCUGCUGCUGUUCCCUUUACAUGUGCAGAUAAAGGUGGAGUCAUGGUGUGUCAUCAGCCUCAUGAGAGUAAGCAGAGGAGAAAGCUGCCCUCCGGUGGAGACGGAGUGCACUGCACCCCUGCUGCUCACGGCCCAGUUUAGCCUCUCUGUCCAGUCAGGGGGGGUUCUGGUCGGUAACCGGCUUGCCUACACUGCAGUCAGUGGUGGAUAGGAUGUUACUGCAGGUGAGUAUUGUCCGUCCACUACUGCAGAUUGAUGCUCUCUAUCUCUGGCUUGUUUCUGUCCUCUGCGAUGGACCCCAGUGUGUGAGUGUGUGCGGGUGGCGAGGGUCAGCUGGUGUUGUGAAUCAGGCCGCUGAAGUGGUGACACGGCUUCUUCACAACACCAGGGCUCCUCGCCGCCAUAUCCUGCGGUCUGUGUGACACGUGUGCACUCCUCAGAUACUGCACAUCAGAGUAGACGUACAGGUAGAGAUGAGCCCUGUAAGGAUCUGCAAAGUGUUGGAACUGUAUCUUUGUAUUAUUACCAGUGUGUACACAGAAUAUGCCAGCACUUCAUUGCAAAAAUAUGUAAUUUCAUAAUAAGGUUGUUUUCUUUUAAAUGGUGUGACAAUGUCACUGAUGCUAAAGGUAUUUUCAUCUGGCGUUCUCACACUAAACUAGGGGCCAGCAUCUUGGAGUAUGAACAAUAAGACAACAGCAACCUGUGCUGCAUGACGUACCCCUCUCUCUGAAUCCUACAUUUCAGACCUAAUGAAUACAUGUUUUGUACACAGUAGAGCAGAUGCGUUUGGCUGAAUCCGACUCUGACAGCAGACAAUGGCUUGAUCCUGUCCAGACGUACAGCGACGUCUGUCUGCUGUCCAUCCAGAUCUGCUGUCUUGGCUCUGAAAUGAGUUCUCUAACAGUGUUCAGUAUGUGCAUGUUUGAGUGGUAAAUAAACACCUUGUGACUGAAGGAACAA
Etheostoma cragini (Arkansas darter) is the source of this 1006-nucleotide long non-coding RNA. RefSeq lists it as uncharacterized. The record is from RefSeq and is a predicted model, not a curated record. Lineage: Eukaryota; Metazoa; Chordata; Actinopteri; Perciformes; Percidae. The transcript is spliced from 2 exons.